Molecule: long non-coding RNA, 6490 nt
Filed under: Sus scrofa (pig)
Lineage: Eukaryota; Metazoa; Chordata; Mammalia; Artiodactyla; Suidae
Description: lncRNA (ENSSSCG00030009415.1)
Source: RNAcentral
GUUAAGCGCUAGAGGCUGGGGAAGGGUUGACUCCAGCAGCAGAAUUCACUUGUCUACUUCGCGCCUGUGCCUGUUGGAAUUGUGAUCCUUUUCGGCCACUGCGUGUGCGCCACUGUCCUAGCACGCAGUUUGGAAGUGGUAGAGGAAGCAGGGGGUUGCGAAUUGCAUCCAUAUGGACAGAUUUCAAAAUGCAAACAUUGAUUUGUCUGCAAGUGCUCUUUGAACCUGUCCGAUGGCUCUAAGGAUGUAUGCUUUCUUCCCGCUGCCCACGCUUGCAGUGUGAAGUGACGACUCUCCUUAGAAGAUCUGCACAGUGAUGGCACUUACUUCAGUUACGAGUUGCUCAGCGGACUGUGGAGUGACUGAACUAUACCCAUUCCCGUCAUGAUGCACACCCCUGAGGUUCCUCACCACACCUGUGUUCUGAUUAGAGGCAAAAUAAAUGACAUUCAAAACUUCCACUAAGGUACUAUAAGCUUUUGUGGUGAGAUGGCAUCUGGUUUCUUUCUACAAGGAAAGUUUAGCACACAGCACAGUCCUUGAAACAUUGGAUUGGUUUGAUGAGCCUACCUGGAAUAGGUAUGUAAAACCUCCAGCAUAUGCUUCAUCUCUUUGAGUCAUAUCUGUGGAUGUGUAUCCACUUCUGCUUUUCUUGUUGUUAACUUAGAGUGGAGUUUGUUCUGAAGAGUAAAAUUCAUGUGUCGAAGGUGACUAUGUGUUUACAGUAUGAUCUACAAGACUCCUUCAUUUUCUUUGUAAUGUGAUAAAUACAUAUUAAGAGCAUUCAUUCCAGGAGAGAAGGGAAAUCCCAUGCUCGUAUGGUUCUGAAAAUAAUAAGAUUUAAUCUACAACUCUGUGAAACUCAAGUGUGUAAAAUAUGAUGAUUCCCUGGCGUGUUUAUAAGAACGGCAUCUGUGGCUCAAAAGUCUAACAGGAAGAUAGAAACUUCUUUUUUUUUUUUUCCAAAAUUAAUCCAGGCUUAGGAAAAACUGAGUACCAAAUUAUGAAAUGACUGCACAUGGGAAUUAAUUAAUGAUUCUUUGAUCUCUUAGGUUGUAGGAUAAGUACUCCCUUGGUGUAUCAUAUGACAUAAAAAAAUACAGUAUUUGACAGUUUUAUUAAUGAAUUCUCUUGAAGGAAAUAUUCUGAAAUUAGAUUCUCAUAAGAUAUAAGUCAUGUAGCUCCUGAUUUAACUCAGUUCAGACUCUUUGAUGAGUGCUGUGUGUGUGGUUGUGGGUGUGGGGGGGGAUGGGUGUGUUAUCACUAAGGGAUACUUUAUUAUUUGACUCAUUGCUUUGUUGUAUUCAACUUUUGAAAUAUUAUUGGGAAUAUGGUAGGCUCGUUGAAAUUCUGGUAUGUAUUUAGAGAAGUGUCUGAUCUAUAUAAAUUGUAUUUUCAAAAGCAAGACUCUAUGUAACAACUCCCCUGUCCACCCCCUCCCCUCAAAAAUGUCUACUGAAAACCACAUUUGGUAAGUGGCACAGACAGACUUGAGACUUAAUCAGAUAUAAAACCUAGCUUUACUCCUUAACCUAUGACCUUGAAAAAAAAAUGUUAUGCUUCCUUAGAAAGAGGUGGGGAGGGAGAGGAUGGAAGAAGGGAAAAAAAAUAAAUCCACAAUUACAAUGCACCAAAUUUACCAGGUCACCUUUCUUAUUAAUGAGGUAUCAAGGAAUUAAUGGAUAUGUUUCUAAGAGUCUCCAGAGAAUUUCAUUCCUACAUUCUGUGAGAGUCUGAAAUCCAUAAUUAGAGUUUAACCUCCCUGAUUUAAGGUCGAAGUUGCAACUGGUCACCUGCACAUUACAGCUAUCUUAGGUUUUUAUUUUACAGGGGUUGGUUUUUUCCUUUUUGGGUUUUUUUUUGGCCUGUACAAAUUAAUACACAUGUGAUAUAAAAAAAUUGCCAAAUCAAAAAACUCAAGAGACUUCACAUAAAUCUUGGCUUUCUUUCUCUGCAAAUGGCACUACAGUUAAAGUAAUUGCUGGUGCCAAAAUUCUAGUUGUCAUACAAAUUUCCUCCAUCUUGGAGUUCCCUUUGUGGGUCAGUGGGUUAAGGUUCUGGUGUUGCCACUGCUUCGGCUCUGGUUACAGCUGAGGCCAGGUUCCGCCCCUGGCCUGGGAACUUCCGCAUUCCUGGAACUUUUGGGUGUGCCCCACGCAAAAAAAUUACUUACCUCUUCUUAACUUCUCUACAUCUAACCCAUCAAUUUCUCCAAAGCCUUGAUCCAACCUAGUGGUUCUCAACCCUCAAUAUGAAAAGAUGAUUAUCUGGUUGCUCAGGUUGCACCUAGAAAAUUAAGUCAACAGUACUGAGAGUGGAGCUGGGCUUCAGAAUUUUAGAAAGCUCUUCAGAUGAUUCUGAUGUGCAGCCAAGGCGAGAACCACUGCUCUACUAUCUUUUUCUUAGCUAUUAGAUGCGUCAAAUGCCACCCCCUGCCAAGUGCAAGUUAAAUUCACCACUUUCUAAUAUUAUCAGUCUUCUACCAUUGUCCCUAUGUCACCGCAUCAUUUCUAUUCUAGUCCCUGUUCAAUCCUAUCUCCACCCAACAGCCAGAGAAACUGUUAUGAAUAGAAACUUGUGGGUUCAAUGCCUGCGUAAACUCUUCAAUAAUAGUAGCAGUAAUGGUAACAACUGGUGAUCAUUGAUACCUUGGUUGAGUAAAGAACCCAAGUUCAGGUUUUAUAGAACCCAAGUUCAGGUUCAAGUCAUGGUGGCAUUAGGUUUCAGGAACAGAUGGAGGAAAGGGCACAAAGGAGGUGACUGCAGAUACCAAGGAAAGUUUAUUCCAUUUCCACAUGGGUCCUGUAGCCUAAUCUGACAAUACCUUCUCCUUGCCUGCUCCUCCAGGCAGUGACCCAUAGGCUAAAAGUUUUACUGACUUCUCCUACAAGUUGCUGCCCAAGCAGUGUCCUGAUGUCAUACUGCCAUCAGGAGCAAAGGGAUUUAAUAGUUUGGCAGUGACAUUAUUAUAAGAUUCAUGUUACAGCACAGCUACCAAUGUGUUUUAAAUGUCACUCCUUCAUAGUUGCAUGAUUCACCCAGCAAAAUAAGUUGAUACUGGUAAAUUUUUAGGCGGGAUAACCAAACUACGGAUGUGUGUUUGACGUUGGUAGUUAGACCUGGGAUCAUUUCUCCUUCCUCUCAGACAUAGAGUUUUUCCUUUUCAACAAUGAAUAACGUAUAUCAGGUUAUUUCUUUGAGCCGAAGUGGAGGGAUUUUCUUCUCAUGAUAACUGUAUAGUGACUAUGUAGACCAUAGAGGUAGAUACUGAAGUCUUUCCUUUUAGACUUCAGCCACCCCAUAACUGGAGAGAGUGCACGUGCCAUCGGAAGGGAGGAAGAUAAGAUAUCAUCAGAAAGUUUUCAUUAAGGACACCCUCUGACACACUGUGAUGUUAUUUUAUUCAGAGUUUAAAAAUAAAUCACUAAAUACAAACUGCUUUGAAGCUGAGUAGAAACUUUGCGUCCUUGUCGGCACCCCUUGUGCGCGGCCUAAUCAGCUUUAAUUUCACAGUGGUGACAAUUUUUUUCUUUUUAUAAUAAUUAAUUGUUCUUUUUUUCAUUUUUUAAAGUUGUAUUGAAGUAUCGUUGAUCGAUAAGGUUGUGAUCAUUUCUGCUGUACAACAAAGUGAUUCAGUGAUGCAUGUACACACAUCCAUUCUUUUUUCAGAUUCUUUUCCCAUGUGGAUUAUCACAGACUAUUGGGUAGAGUUCCCUGUGCUCUAUAACGUGUCCCUGUUGGCCAGUCAUUCCAUAUGCCUCAGUGUGCAUAUACCAAUCCCAAACCAAUGUAAAACCUUUGGUGUUUCACUACUGACAUUGUGAAAAGCUCAAGGAGCUGUGUUAAGACAAAAAUGUGCCUCAGAUGUUCAGGUAAUGGAAACUAAUAAAGAUGUUGUAAACUCAGUUACCUAGGUAUUGAAUUAAUGCUUCAGGCAUAGCUCUCUCCUUUACCUAAGUGGGUCUGUUUACCCAAAUAAUUUGUCUGCGCAGAGCCAUCCUACACUUAAGGAGACAGUUGAUGUUUUCAGCUCUCUCUGGAGUAUUUAUCCUGGGGGACAAAUGGAGAACAAAAUACAUGGAGAGGCCAGGCACACAUACACUGGGCAUCCUGGACCCAGUACAGGAUAGUGCUUAUUAAUGAGAUGCCUUUGUAUUUCCUUUGGGGACCAGGAUGGCUUGGCCUUGUGUACAAUUCUUCUCUGUGGUGAAUAGAGUUAUAAAAAGACCACAGAUUCUUUUCAUGCCAUUUUAGGAAUUUCUUUGAAAGGAUUCAAGCAGUGAAGCACAUUAUGUUUUAAGGUUCUGCAUUAGUAUAGGCAAAGCUUUUCCAAUAAGAUAAAGCCAUUUUUCUAAAUUCUUUAUGUCACUGAGUGCCCAGAAUCUGGACAGAGGGAAAUUAAAAUCUCUCUGAAAUCCACCAUAUUGCCACCACCAUAUGAAAUAGCUAUUGAGAGGGAAACUAAUAGUGUCUUAAAUGAACCUUGGGUUAAACAUACAUCCCUUUGCAUUUUCCAGUAUUGUUUUUCACUUACCUUUAACUCCUUUUCAAUCAGAAAAGUUCCCUAAGUUGAUUAGGAUUCAUUUUUUAAAAUCUAAUAUAAAAACGAGUACAUUUUUAUUAGAGGGAAGGCACGAUACAGAUGCUGAGUUGAUUGUGAGGAUUUGUAUUACGUUAUAUUAAUGAAUCAAAUGGCUCCCCAAAUAUACAUGUUUGUCAUAGGGAUUUACUGUUCUAUCAGACUUUUUCUUAUUCCCGUCAUUACUCUAGCACUUUGUGUUGACUUUUGAGAGUGAACAUUUUGGAACAAAAGAUAUAUUCUUCUAGGAUCCUCCAUGCUUGGACCACAUCAGACCUGAGUAAAUAUUUGUGAGAUGAAUGAUGAAUAAUUCAAAUGCAUUUUAAUUUUAGACACAAGCAGAUGAAAUUAUACCAAAGCUAGGAACUGAUUUAGCUGCUGAACUAGAUAUAUAAAAUAAUGAUCAAUAAAAAUGGUAAUUCCUCAGAUCAGAGACUAUGUCUGGUGUGCUCUGUUGCAAGCAGAGAGAUGGGCAUCAUUUUUAAAGGAUUUGGACAAAGUCAUAGGCCAGCAAAUCUAAUAUUUUGGUGAGCAGCUCAUCCUGAUUUCAUUAAGGCCUGGCUGUUCACUUCCCUCUUCUCCACCAGUGUUUUCAUCUUUAAAUUUUUUUUCUGCCAUAUUAGGGGGUGUUCUAGUCUAAAGACUCCUGAUUGAAGUGCCUUAUCUUUAAAAACUUUGCUAAGGGCAUGUGGGACAUUAAGAGGUAAAAUGCUACUGUGGCUCUGUAAGUAAUAGUCUUUUCAGAAACAGCUGCACUUGUGAAUAACUGAAUAAAGUCUAAUGUUGUCCAAGCAGGUUAUAUGCUACCCAAGUAAACCUCUAGGAAGUACUUGAGUUGUUUCUGUGCCCCCUUCUACUCAUCUGUUAAAUCUCUGACUUUUCUUGGCAAAGCUCAAACCCAAUUAAAGUCCAUAUGCUUUACAGUGCUUCACAUCUGCAUUUUAGAAAAAGAGCAGAUGACCCACAUGGAUGUUGGGUCUUAUCAGCCAACAGUAAUAUAAGCCUUUCAUACAUAAAAUUCUUUUUCUCAGCAGUUGUGAAAUUUCACUUUGAAAUUAAUUUUCAUUCUUAGUAUAACAGCAUACUAUGUCUCAAGGAAUAAGUGAUUUCAUAUAUUUAGGAGCCCUAAACUAUAUUCCCAUAUUGGAGAGAGAUUUAAAGCAAAUUGGUUUAUUUCAUCUGAAUAGUAAUAAUAUAAUCAAUGAUAGCUGUGAAAUUAGGAACUUCCCCAUGUUUAACUUAGCCAUCUUAAUGUUCAAAUAUAUUUUUCUUUACAUUAUUAAUUUUUUCUUCCUUUCAACAUUUCCAUCCUCUACUGUUUACUUGUCUUUACUGAUAUGUCUUACUCUGGUUAAAAAAAAAAAUACUCUACAUAGGUUAUAACAAGAAUAAAACAAUAAUUUUAAAUGGAAUAGAAAAUUAAAGCGGGACAAAUAUAAAUAAAACUGUAGAAUAAGAGAGAAAUAAGUAUCAGUCACAAUUAGGCAAAUCCUAAAGACCAGCCUUUGCUGCUGUUGAUCAUCAGACUUUAAGUUUGCUCGGGGAUAAUGCAAAAUUUUUGUGAGGCAGUUCUUUUGUCUGAAAAAAAAAAAGAUUUGCCUAACAUUAAAAUACUCCUUCUGUAAGAAAAGAAAUUAGGAGUUCCCAUCAUGGCUCAGUGGUUAACAAAUCGACUAGGAACCAUGAGGUUGCCGUUGCGGGUUCGAUCCCUGGACUCGCUCAGUGGGUUGAGGAUCCGGCGUUGCCGUGAGCUGUGGUAUAGGUCGCAGAUGCAGCUCGGAUCCCGAGUUGCUGUGGCUCUGGCAUAGGCCAGUGGCUACAGCUCCAAUUAGGCCCCUAGCCUGGGGACCUCCAUGUGCCACAGGAGCGGCCCUGGAAAAGACAAAAAAAAAAAAAAAAAAAAAAAAAAAA